GGCAGCCAAAGCCAUUUUAGGAUGGUGAGAGACAUGCCGCCAGCACAUUGGAAAUGCGUCUCUGGUGGACAGGAAACAUUAUGAGUCACACUCGAAGUUCUCUGUUGUUCGGAAGGGGUGAAACCACUUUGACUUCAGGAGGACUGAAGGUGUUAGGAGCUGCUUGGCAUUUUGACUGUGUUUUCUGAGACGAAUAUGUAUGUACGACUGCCUGGGGAGAAACCACACACAACAGAGCCUGAAGCGACUAAAGACUAACACCAGGUCAGUCAGGAAGCUCUGGAAGUUUGAUGGAAACUCAUGCAAUAUGAGAAAGACUUGACCAGCUAUGGCUAACUUUGAAAGUGGAAGGCGUCCAGGAGCCAAGGAAUAUGGGCAGCCUUAGAAGCUGAAAAGGGAGCCUAAAGAAGAUGAAAUCAAUUGGCACGGAUUCUGCAACUAAAUGAUGCUUUCGCAGGGGUAAAGCUUUUUGGAACUGCACUGCUUACUAAGAGCGUGAAAUGCCACAGGAGUGGCUGAAACAUUGGUGGAAGUCAGCCAUUCUGCCACGCUUCCUCUAUACUUUGCCACCGUCAGGGGAUCACUGGAGAGGAUGGGGGUCAUUGAGUGCACGUGAGGUCCCAUUUGCUGCCCCUCGCUGGUGAGCAUGCAUCAUCUGCCCAGAGGAAGGACAACGCUGUCUAUGGAUUUGCAGUAUCUUGGCCCUGCAAUUCCUAACUGCCUGUUCAGCUCCGCAAUAUCGUUUAGCAGAUUUAAAAUCUACAUUGUCCACAUGGUUCUCAACAUGAGCAUCACUUGGCCUUACCUAGGUGAGUUUUAGAGGAAGUGAUCACUUUAUUUCUUUAAAAUCUCU
This 853-nucleotide long non-coding RNA is filed under the name Mustela putorius furo (domestic ferret). Its description in RNAcentral is "lncRNA (ENSMPUG00000031856.1)". The record is from RNAcentral. Lineage: Eukaryota; Metazoa; Chordata; Mammalia; Carnivora; Mustelidae.